This 530-nucleotide long non-coding RNA is filed under the name Mus spicilegus (steppe mouse). Its description in RNAcentral is "lncRNA (ENSMSIG00000025804.1)". Lineage: Eukaryota; Metazoa; Chordata; Mammalia; Rodentia; Muridae. The record is from RNAcentral.
CCAGGCACUAGGAGGUAUUCAAGGGAGAGUUACUCCUCUGUUUUGACAUUCCCUUCCCUGGAGAGAUGUAACAACAUCAGCCUUCUCCUUAUAAGCCCUGAGCCUGGAUUCCCCUCUCUGGAUCUAUGCAAUACUGCGAAGUGUCGGCAGGUGGCGCCACUGCACUGUCGGGUCCCUUCCUGCUGGAGGCUAAGGGAAGACCACCCAAGGUGGCACAGCCUCCUCCUGCCUGUGACCCCACCCUGGGAAGUUCUAAAGGCUGAAGUGCUCUUGAGACUUUUGGAUAAUGUACAUUUUAGUUUAUUAAUGUCUAUAAUAAAAGCCCAAGACAAACUCCUCAGUACCAGAAGAACUCGGGCAAGGCCUAGGGCAGGCCUCUCUUUUCUCUUCAUACUUCAUGUGGGAGCCACAUGUGGGAAGGGGAUCUAAUUCUGCUUCUCUCGAGGUGAGGUGCGGGGGUGGUGGUGGGGGCAUCCUUCUUUGGUUUAGAAACCCCACUUACUAAGGUAAUGUUUAAUUAGUACUGUUAU